CGCAGUAUACUUUUGUGUUUUG
Molecule: microRNA, 22 nt
Filed under: Drosophila virilis
Lineage: Eukaryota; Metazoa; Arthropoda; Insecta; Diptera; Drosophilidae
Description: dvi-miR-308-5p
Gene: dvi-miR-308-5p
Source: miRBase by way of RNAcentral